CGUCCCGUAACGAGCGCCAACCCUUGUCCUUAGUUACCAGCACGUUAUGGUGGGCACUCUAAGGAGACUGCCGGUGAACAAACCGGAGGAAGGGUGGGGAUGACGUCAAGUCAUCAUCGGCCCUUACGGCCGUGGGCUACACACGUGCUACAAUGGUCGGUAACAAAGGGUUGCCAAGCCGCGAGGUGGAGCUAAUCCCAUAAAACCGAUCGUAGUCCGGAUCGCAGUCUGCAACUCGACUGCGUGAAGUCGGAAUCGCUAGUAAUCGUGAAUCAGAAUGUCACGGUGAAUACGUUCCCGGGCCUU
RNAcentral lists this ribosomal RNA (306 nucleotides) under uncultured Pseudomonas sp. RNAcentral describes it as "bacterial SSU rRNA". It matches the Rfam family "Bacterial small subunit ribosomal RNA", at positions 1083 to 1382 of the family's 1533-position model. The record is from RNAcentral. Lineage: Bacteria; Pseudomonadati; Pseudomonadota; Gammaproteobacteria; Pseudomonadales; Pseudomonadaceae.